This 253-nucleotide ribosomal RNA is filed under the name uncultured bacterium. RNAcentral's name for it is "partial 16S ribosomal RNA". It matches the Rfam family "Bacterial small subunit ribosomal RNA", at positions 524 to 776 of the family's 1533-position model. The record is from RNAcentral.
UACGUAGGGUGCGAGCGUUGUCCGGAAUUAUUGGGCGUAAAGGGCUCGUAGGCGGUUUGUCACGUCGGGAGUGAAAACUCAGGGCUUAACCCUGAGCUUGCUUCCGAUACGGGCAGACUAGAGGUAUGCAGGGGAGAACGGAAUUCCUGGUGUAGCGGUGAAAUGCGCAGAUAUCAGGAGGAACACCGGUGGCGAAGGCGGUUCUCUGGGCAUUACCUGACGCUGAGGCGCGAAAGCGUGGGGAGCAAACGGG